Molecule: non-coding RNA, 205 nt
Filed under: Tannerella forsythia
Lineage: Bacteria; Pseudomonadati; Bacteroidota; Bacteroidia; Bacteroidales; Tannerellaceae
Also listed under: 1 other name
Source: RNAcentral
ACCUUUGCAUCUGAUUUCGGUGUAGCCGCGAUGCUUCCGUAUCCGGUUAGUAAAAGGGAAUCCGGUGAAAGACCGGAGCUGUACCCGUAGCCGUAAGUUCUUAACACCUCGGCAUAUCUAUCCGCCACUGGCUCGAUACGAGCCGGGAAGGCAGCCGACCAAAGGAGGAACGAGCCGGAAAACCUGCCGGAAUCGGAUACUCAGA